Molecule: small nucleolar RNA, 68 nt
Organism: Caenorhabditis elegans
Lineage: Eukaryota; Metazoa; Nematoda; Chromadorea; Rhabditida; Rhabditidae
Source: Ensembl
UGGGCGGUGAAAUUGUUGCACAGACCUGUUCCUAUUAGUUCACUGAGGAAAAUAGCAAUCAUGAGCCU